CGUCGCUCGUCAGAGUUUGAUCCUGGCUCAGGACGAACGCUGGCGGCGUGCUUAACACAUGCAAGUCGAACGUGAUUUUUGUGGAAGUUCCUUCGGGGAUGGAAGCAAAAUGAAAGUGGCGAACGGGUGAGUAACACGUGAGCAACCUACCUUACACAGGGGGAUAGCCGUUGGAAACGACGAUUAAUACCGCAUGAGACCACUAUGUUGCAUGACAAAGAGGUAAAAGAUUUAUCGGUGUAAGAUGGGCUCGCGUCUGAUUAGCUAGUUGGAAGGGUAAAGGCCUACCAAGGCAACGAUCAGUAGCCGGUCUGAGAGGAUGAACGGCCACACUGGAACUGAGACACGGUCCAG
Molecule: ribosomal RNA, 354 nt
Filed under: uncultured bacterium
Lineage: Bacteria
Description: bacterial SSU rRNA
Rfam family: Bacterial small subunit ribosomal RNA
Source: RNAcentral